This 718-nucleotide ribosomal RNA is filed under the name uncultured bacterium. RNAcentral describes it as "bacterial SSU rRNA". It matches the Rfam family "Bacterial small subunit ribosomal RNA", at positions 1 to 698 of the family's 1533-position model. The record is from RNAcentral.
AGGGGGGUUUGAUCCUGGGCUCAGAUUGAACGCUGGCGGCAUGCCUAACACAUGCAAGUCGAACGGUAACAGGCCGCUUUGAUCCCUUCGGGGUGAUCUUGGCGCUGACGAGUGGCGGACGGGUGAGUAAUGCUUGGGAAUCUGCCCAGUAGUGGGGGACAACACGAGGAAACUCGUGCUAAUACCGCAUACGUCCUACGGGAGAAAGUGGGGGAUCUUCGGACCUCACGCUAUUGGAUGAGCCCAAGUCGGAUUAGCUUGUUGGUGAGGUAAAGGCUCACCAAGGCGACGAUCCGUAGCUGGUCUGAGAGGACGAUCAGCCACACUGGGACUGAGACACGGCCCAGACUCCUACGGGAGGCAGCAGUGGGGAAUAUUGGACAAUGGGGGCAACCCUGAUCCAGCAAUGCCGCGUGUGUGAAGAAGGCCUGCGGGUUGUAAAGCACUUUCAGUAGAGAAGAAAUGCCUGGGGUUAAUAACUCCGGGUCUUGACGUAACCUACAGAAGAAGCACCGGCUAACUCCGUGCCAGCAGCCGCGGUAAUACGGAGGGUGCGAGCGUUAAUCGGAAUUACUGGGCGUAAAGCGCGCGUAGGCGGCUAGGUCAGUCGGAUGUGAAAGCCCCGGGCUCAACCUGGGAAUUGCAUUCGAAACUGCCUGGCUAGAGUAUGGGAGAGGGAAGCGGAAUUUCCGGUGUAGCGGUGAAAUGCGUAGAUAUC